GGAGAAUAUGGCGCGGCGGCCGGAAGUAGUGCCAACGCGUCCCACCAAUGUUGGGACGCUAUCCGGCCCUAAUUCAUCGGUCCCGUUGUAUGGUUGCUUCCUCACGAUCAGGUCAACGCCCAACCUAGUGAGCUCCUUUUAUGUCCAUCCUUAACUUGCACUGCGCUAGUUUAGUGUUGUGAGCAAUCAUAUUAUAUAUGUACCAAUGUAUAUAAGCAUGUAGUAUCUGCUUUGACAUUAUGUAACAACAAGUACAACUCAAAAACUGUGAUUAUAUUUGUGUGGUAUUAGUCAUAUCCUAUUUAUAUAGCAAUUGUUUGAUUAAAACCUUUUGUUGAGAACAUCCUGAAGACACCACAAAUGGUUUUCAAAAUAGGGAUGCAUCUAUUCUAGAAUGGCAAUACCUAUUUCGUGUUGCUAAUUUGUUCUUAGGUGAGUGGACAAGCAAAGUAUGAUAGACUAAUGAUGCAACUGAAACAGACAAUGCCAAAGUUGAUAUAGUUUUGCUUAGAAAGAGGCGCCCAUCAUAAAUUUGAUAUAUAUUCUUACCAAGAAUGUGUGCACAAUAAUUUGCAAGGGGAAAAUCAAUCCAAGUAUAAUAGGCUAAUGAUGCCCCCAAAAUCGACAACAAUAGAUUUUAUCAAGUUUUGCUUAAAAGAGGCCAUGAACCUAAUACAAGUACUUAGGAGUAUAUCUCAUUGAAGCACUCGGUCCUGCUGGUGCUUGGUUUUUUAGGUUUCACAUGAAUAUGCAUUAGUCACAUGUUUGCAUUAGUCACAUGUUUGCAUUAGUCACAUGUUCUUUCAUAUCUCGGUGAAACUAUUGUUCUGUUUGAUUGUUUAUCACAAUUUGUGGUUUGUUGUUGCUUUUCAUAUGAUGAUGGUUUGUGGGAUGCCGCUAAUAAUGAGUUUGUCAUAAAAUGGCCUAAUUGUUGUUAAGUGUCAUGUGUAUCCAUAAAUUUCUAGGUAGUUAUCAUCCAUUUACACUUUAUGCCUUGGAUAUGCACAUGGUUGUGUUUGUUUAUUAGGAAUGGUAGGCCGAGUAGGUGAUUGUGGCGUGACUGCGAAAAAUUGUACUUGAUACCCCAUAAAUAAUUCCAUCCCCCUAUUUUAACUUCACAAACAUGGCAUUUGCUUCGUGCAUGUGCUCUACUUCAUAUGGACUAAAAAGGUAAUAUUUUUCUUUUGAUGCCUGAUAAAAAGUAAGAAGGAAAAUACAUCACCCAUCCACAAGCUUAUUUAUAUUUUUAAACAUCGCAGUGUGAGAAAAAUAUUAAUCACUUGCUUCUUUAUCAGAAUCAGAUUUUAUGAAAGAAUAACCAAACAAGUAACUUUGGACACUUUCUCUUAGCUAAAUAUGUUUGUUUCUAGAUGUUAGAUGCCUUGGUUAGCAGCAUAACUAUUUCUAGAUUCUACAACAUGUGGUGGAAGCUAGUCAUAAGGUAGGGAUUAAUAAGUGCAACCAAGAAGUAAGCAUGGGUUUGGAAUUGCAAAAUAAGUUCUCAACGUGUCCAUGAAGACACGUCACAUGUUUAAAUACUCUUGUGUGCUAGCAAGGUCUGCAUAUUAGUUUGUUGUUUGUUUGCCGAGGGUAACAUAGGUUCUUUUAUGUGACAUAUAUUCCUUGAAAAAAUAAAAUAAAAUGAACAUAUAAAGUUUUUUCUUGACUUGACCAAUGAAAUAAUUUAUUUGUUGCACAUUUGUUUAUUCCAUGUUAUUUGAUCUUCUUAUAGAUCUUGUCCUUUGCAUAUGCAUAUUUCUUACUAUUCAACAAUUUCUCAUCUCAAAUUUUGUGUUUCUUCCUUAUUUUUAUUUCUCUAUUGGCUUCAAUGAUUAUGCAUAAAGUCUCAAUACUUCAAUAUUUGUAAGAUGGUUUCUUAUAUAUUUAACUUACUGUCAAGUAAGAGAUGUUUUUCAUGGUUAUGUAGAUUCAUUCAACCUACCUAAAUUUUUGAUUAGGAAAUUAUUCACCACUUACCCCCCUCCCCCAUUUUUUAUUUGCAUAAUUGUAACUCAAUGAUACCCUGAAUUUUUAAUUUAUGUAGACCACUACACUUACUAGAACCACACUGAUGAGCAUUGGAUGCUAAGGAAUUGUAUUAUUAAUUAGUGAUGUUUUUGUAUGAUAAAGUAUGUGUGGCUACCAGCCAUAUUCCCUUCAUAUCACAUAGUAUUCUUAGUUAUAACAACAACCAAAUUAUGGUAUGAUAUUUCAUAUUUAUUCUAUAGCUAACAAUGCAAAUUCACGCACAAGGUAUUAUCAUCCUUUUCAUGCUAUUAGUUAUUUCAAAAAUCUCUAGUUUUUUACCUCAACUUUAUAGACCCUCUUUGAAUUAUCCUUUUGUAGACUUUUUGUUUUGAAGUGUCAAACAUGUCUUGGAAAUCAUUUUUUGGCACUGGGCACAGUUUGCCUCCUCUCACCACCCAUCUAAUUGUAAGGGAUAAAAUAGUCUCUUAUAUGUGUCCAGGAUUCUUUCGCUAAUGUAUAUUUUCUACAAACAUUGGAAGAUCAAGGGCGAAGAGGGGAGGGGCGCAAUGCAUAUAAGGAGCCUACAUAUUAGUUUUUUUUAGGAAAAUAGUGACCACAAUCGUUGCAUGUGUGCAUAGGAUACUAACAUUUUUCUAGGUAGAUUCAUUGUAUUCUAUGAUUGCUUUGUUGUAUUUUUUAUGACGGAUAACAAUGUACAAAGUGCAUACUUGUUGGGUUCUUCCUAGUCAUUUUGUGUUGGGUGUCUUCUGAAUAUGCUCCAUUUGUAUUUUUUCCUAUUUUUGUUGCAUGCGGCAAUUAUUUAGUUGCUAAUAUGAUGUCUGCCCUUUUGGUAGGGACUACUAUUUCUAUUGAAGUCAGAUUGAUUCAAUGCCUACUCUUUUUUGUGUGAAAUGAAUUUAUCUCUGUGAUGUUACAACGAUGUUAUUUCAUAGAUAAAGGAAUUAUUGGCAUAUUGUGGAUUAUAUUUUAACCAAUACAAUCAAGUGUGGAAUGAUUAGAAAAAUUAUGUGGGAAGAUGUGCUUUUCAUUCAAGUUACCUAUAGAGAAAAUAAUUGACACUUGCUAAAAGUGAACAAGUUUAUGUCGUUUUGUGUGAGUCCUAAUCAUUUUGUUUCCAUGUCCAUAGGCAAAUUACAAUAAAAAGGUCAUGCUCAUCCGAACAUAAACUUUGUUCAAGUUAUAGACAUUAUGAUUAAAGUUCUAAGCUCAUUUAUGAGCAAAUGGAAUGACUGGAUUAUGCAAAUUGUAUCUGGAGAUAGAGUUGGAAUUUAGGUCAAUGAUGAGAUAGGACCAUAUGUGUGCACUUACCAGGGACUUAGAAAGGGGACCCCAUGCCCCCUUUGCUCUUAUGUAUGGCCUCCGGUGCAGUAGAAUUUCUGUUUGAUAGGGCAAUUACAAACUAACUUACUAAUUGAAUUGGUCCUCGCCUAGUGGGUGGUGGUUUGCAGAUGAUACUAUGUCACUACUACAUGAUAAUUUGGAGCAAGCUAGAAACCUUGAAUUUAUUCCGUGUCUUUUUGAACAAAUGUCAAGCCUGAAAACAUUUUUUCACACAAGUGAGGCCUAUUGUUUGUGCAAGGCACACAAAAUACAUAAAGCUUUGAGGAGAUAUUUACUUGUAAAUUUGGUAUACUUUGUAUUAACUACCUUCAGAUCCCAAUUGAAAGAAAGAGAGAAUUUGUAUAUGUGAUUGGAAUGAAAUUGUUGGGAGGAAUGAAGGUAGAUUGAGGAAUUGGCAAGGGAUACAACUCUAAGUGGGAGGCAUACAUUAAUUCUCCGCUGACAGGUAUACCAAUGUACAUCUUGCCUUUUUACAUAUUACCACAUAGUGUUGUUGAGAAAUGAUACCACCUUGUUAAUUUACCCCAGACUUGUUUUCCUAAAGAUUCUGGAGGGUUGAGUAUUCUUAACUUAGAUAUACUAUGAAUAUUUCCUCCCAUCCAAAUGUCUUUGGAAACUCUUCAAUGAAAGAGGUCCUUGGCAGGGAUUUUUGACUAAUAGAUAUUUAGCUUCUCAAAUGGUUACACAAGCAUCAACUCAAAAAAUGGACUCAAAUUUCUAGCAAUAACUAAUGGAAGUCAAAAUCCUUUUUCUAAAAUAUUGUAGGAUUCAAGUUUGAAAUGGGGAAAACCUAAAAUUUGGGAAGACACUUGGCCAGGAAGAACUAGCAUGACUGCUCUUUCCCUAGGCUUUUCUCUAUUUCAAUGGAACCUAAUAUUUAUAUUCAUGUAGUUUAUACAAAGCUAUGGUGGGUAACACUCUAUUGCAAGGGGAAAAUUUGAAGGAGAUGUGCGCUUGUUUAUCUCUAACUGAUGGUGAUUUUAUGCUUGCAUAUUUGUUGCCAUCCUGUAGUCAGAUUACUAAUAGGUCCUUGUAUUCCACCAUCUGAAAUUAUGAUGCAGUGCCUCAUAAAUUCCUAUGGCAAGUAAGGUACCUUCGUGGAUCUAAACUUUCUAUGCAUUGCUAUUACGAAAAAAGGUCCUACUCGUGACAUUCUAUUUAGAAGGGGGAGUGGUGAGAUGCUAAAUAUUUGUUUCGUGCUGAAAAUAACCUAUAGAUCAUCUCUUCCUUUCAUGCACACUUGCUAGAUACAUGUGGAAUAUUGUUGGGGUGUGCUCUGAGUGUUUCUUGUCAGUUUUCAAGUGUGGAGGGUUGUUUUAUAUCUUGGUUUCCUAGUUUCAUGGGUAAGAGAAAAAAAUUAUGACUGCUGGAGUGGCUGAUGUGAUUUGAAGCAUUUGGAAGGCCAAAAAAUGGCUUGUUAUUGUGGGUGAGAUGUUAUGUUUGGGCUUGUUGUUGGAUUAAUUAUUGGAGUUCAUUAUAGGUGAAGGCAGAUACAAAAUUGGACCUAUAGUGGAAUACAAGACUAAUGGCGCAAGUCACAACUCAAGUUUUGUAGGCGAGGGGUCGGUAAGCUUCGUGGAUCCCCAAGUUGGGGUGUUGUUCCUCAUCUUUUGUAGAUUGAUGGCUGAACUUGCUUCCGUUGCUCUGUUGCAAGUCUUUUCAUUCUUCUUUUCAAUAGCUAAAGCUCUUGCUUCUUAGGUGUAUCUGUACACUUACUAAGCUCCCUAGAAAAGGAGAUCUCUAGUUGCUAAGGGCUAUGAUGAGUGCUUUGGGUCAUGUUGUUAGCUGGUGGGAGGUUUUUCACUACUUGGGCCACCUCCCAGGUUAUACAUAUCGCCUUUGGUGGGGGAUAGAUCACAGAUGAGGGGAAAGGGGUGGUCAUAGGUGGCAUGCAUGGUGUCGUUUCCAUGCUUUGUUGAUGUGUGUCCCCGCUUGAGGGGUGCUCCUGCCAGCAAGCUCAUCGUGCUUUGGUUAAUGCUCCUUUCGUUGCCUUCUCAAUUUUGGUUUGCAUCUUUUAUUCUUGUUCAUUGGUUCUCUUUUUGUCAUGAAAUUGUUUUUGGUUUUGGUUUGAGACCAUAUCCUCCAUUGGAGGCAGUGAUGGGAGUGGGGGUUUAGGAUGAGAUACAUUUGGGGUGUUCUAGUGGGACAACAAUGACCCAGCAUCUCACCUUGUCGACCAUAGUCAGACUCAAUGAUGAGGAGCCACGACGACCCCAACUACAACUAAGCUCCACCACCCUAGUUCCCUUCUCCAGCUUCAAGAUGCCUAGAUGCAUCCCAAAGAGGAGUUGAAAAAAGGUGAGAUGUGAUCCUUGAUUUUCUUGCCUACCAUGGAGAGUGUAGGUUGCUGCUCUAGGGAUGGUAGGGCAUGUGAUAUGUGGCUUAUAUGAAGGACUAGUGGUAGCCCACCCUCAUAAUAGUGUGGUGGCAGAAGGAAGUUAGGAAUGACAUCCUGGUCCAGCUUGUUAAGCUGGAAUUAGUUCCACUAUUCAGAUUACACACAUAUUAUUGGAUUAAAUGUCUUCUACUAAAAAGGGAUUAAAUUUGGGAGAAGUGUGCUGGCAUUCAGACCGAUGUAUUGCGUAUUUUUUGCCACACUCACCAAUAACAUGUCUGUUGUAAUGCCUCGUUAAGAGAUAAUAAGACUGAUUUUCCCAAUCUACCUGGAUAUAUUUCUCUCUUUUUAUUUCCUCUAGAGGCUUGGUUGUUAGUUAGAAGAACUUGUGACUUAAGUACUCUAGAUAUAAUUCAAAAUCUAAAUGAUAUUUGGUAUAUGUUUCCCCUCUAUACGUUCAUGUGUGAAAUCUCCAACCAUACAUGUUCAGCCUUAGAUGUAAAGUCAUAUCCACCUCUAUCAACAACCUCUCCUAGAAAUAACCGUUGAGUCAGGUUGUUAAAUUAUAGUUGCAAUUCAGUGCUCCCUUUGCAUGAGGCAAAACUGGCAACAUCUAAUCACCACUAGCAAUGCCCUCUUCUCAACUUACUGAAUAUUGUUAUGAUGACAAUUGUGAAUUGGUAGUUAAUCUUUAUGGAAAGGUGGGACAGGGUGAUAUUAUUCUAAAAAUUAUUUGCAAAUAAAGAAUGUCUACUAUUGUUCUUGAAACCAGGUUACAAAUAUUAAUCUAGUAAUUAACAUGUUUAUUAUCGGCCCUCUUGAUAAAUUGCAUGCCACCUAUUUCAUUAACUGUACUUCCCAUUUGAGCAAUAAUUUUAGAAGAGUCAUUAGUUUGAUAAACUUUUGUCCCUUUAUAGGUAUAUUAUAUGACUUUGAUGACCUUGAUUUCUAAACUUGAAGUUGCAACCAUGUGUUUCAUAUUCUGCAAUUUGGAAUCUCAUGUAUAACUUCAAUUUCUUUUUAUGGCUCUCAUCAAUCCUUUAUAGCUCAAUAAGUUUAGAUACCUACACAAAUUAGUUAUGGCCAAAUUCCGUCAUCUACUUAAUGUUUGAGCUUGUCAUAUUUCAUCCACACAAAGAAUAAUCCAUAAGCUAAUAGUACCAUUUUUACUCGGUUUUCUAUGAUGCAGAAUAUACUAGACACAAUAUGAACAAAUUAUGAUUAAGUCUAUUACCUUUAUGAAUACAACCAUGUAUUUGUUACAUAAAAAAGCUUGGAAUAAAGAGAGCUUUCAUGGGGUUGUAUGCACUGCUAAUUACCAACCGCAUAUGCAAGAAUUCUAUCUACUACCAUAUUAUUUAUCAAUGUGCACAUGUAGGUAAAGGAUUUAUAUCUUUGUAAAAUGAUGUAACUUCAGGAUGGUUCUAGAUACUUUCGAAUAUGAAAAUAUUGUAACAUUGGUCUCUCAAUACAAAAAUUACAAAAAUGCUGCACCAACCCAAUAAUAUUUCCAUAGAUGGGUCGAUGAUUAUAGAAAGAACAAGAUCUUUUGUUUUGUGCGGGAUGGGGUUAUUAUCCACGGAGAUAAAGAACUGUUGGACUAUGCUACCAAAUUCUAUAAAGAGUUUUUUGGUCUUGUAGAUCUUUUACCUAUUUCUCCAAGUAUUCAUGUUCCUACUUGUUUAGAUAUUAAAGGCAAUAAUGUGUUGACUCCCAGAUUCGCCUUGGAAGAUAUCAAACUUGUCGUCUUCUCUAUGAAACAUAACUGAGUGACUGGCCCCGAUGGAAUGCCCAUUGAGUUUUACUAAUUCAUUUGGGAUUUAAUUUGUCGUGAUUUAGUCCAACUAUUUAGUGACUUCUUUGAUGGCAAACUAGGCCUCUAUAGGCUAAACUAUGGUGUAGUUACUUUGAUUGCCAAAGGCCAGGGGGCUGGUUAGAUUCAUAUGUGUAGGCCUAUUUUGCAUGCUUUAUGUCCCUUUUGAGAUUUUUACCAAGGUUUUGAACACUAGAGUUAUGCUAGUUGCUUACAAGCUAGUGUCCAAGAUACAAGCAACUUUUAUUAAAGGUCGCUACUUACUGGAUAAUGUAGUAAUGUUGCAUGAGACCACACUAUAAUCAUAAGAGCAAGCUUCCUGGCAUGCUUUUCAAAGUCAAUUUUGAGAAAACUUACGAUAAAAAUAACUAGGACUUUAUGCUUUUUGUGUUAGAGAUGAAAGGAUUCCUUGAAAAGUUUAUUCAGUGGACCAAGUCAACUAUUGUUGAUGAUAAAGUGGCUAUUACUUCAAAUGAUAUGUUGGGUAAUUAUUUUACUACUAGAAAGGGUCUUAGGUACGGAGAUCCCUUCCCCCACAGUGUUUAUAUAGUUGUUGAUGUCCUUGUGACCCUAGUUAUAAGGGCUCAGGAGAAAGGGUUUAUAAAAGGUCUAGCACCUUAGAUUUAUGAAGGUUGCCUUUCUAUUUUACAAUAUGCCGACAACAUGAUCUUUUGUUUUGGGGACGACUUAGAAGGAGUUAGGAAUCCUAAAAUAAUUCGUUGUGUUUUUUGAGCAUUUAACUAGUCUUAAAUUUUUUAUCUUUAAAAUUUUGGUUUACUUCUUUGGUGAGGCGGAACUAAAACAUAAGGAUUAUGCUAAGAUCUUUACUUGCGCAUUAGAAACUUUCCUUUUCAUUACCUAAGUAUGCCUCUACACUACAAGAAACUUGGUAAUAGCGAUUGGAAAUAGUUGAGGAGAAAUGUGAGAAGAAAGCAGCUACCUAGUAGGAGAGAUUUCUUCCUAUGGGGAUAGGCUCAUUCUAACUGUGGCUUUCUCGAGUAGUGUCCCUGGUCAUAUGCUUUCCUUUUUUAGAUUGCCUAAAGGUGUUGGUAAACAUUUUGAUUUUAGCCCAUUUGGUCCAGCAAGAAAAAGGGGGGGGGGGGUUACUAAUCAAGAAGUUAAAAAUGUUAGUCUUCUUUACAAGUGGCUCUGGAUACAAGAAAAUGAGGAGAGUGUUGACAUGAGAUGGUUAGGGCAAAGUAUCUGAAGAAGAAAACUUUGCCUCAAUGUGAAUAAUAUCCUGGCAACUCUCACUUCUGGAAUGGCUUAAUGGAAGUUAAGAAUAUCUUUUAUUGUUGUUGUCAGAGAGUUGUGGGGGAUGGUCGUAGAACUAGAAUUUGGCAAGAUGCGUGGAUAAAGGAUAAACUGAUUUGUUUGAUUUUUCGUCAUCUUUAGAGCUUAACAUUUUGUAACAUGUUACCAUUUCAAAAGUAUUUACCUUGGAUUUUAAUUGCAUUGGUUCAAAAGAUGUUUACAUGGGGAGAAUCUUGAUAUGUGGAAUAACUUACUUGAUAUGUGUGGUUGGCUGAUUCUGUCGGAUAAGCCCGACAAAGUUAAAUGGUUACUUACAACCUUCGGUAACUUUUCUGUUAUCUCUUUAUCAUUAUCUUAUUGCUAGACAAGAUGCUUUAUCUUCUAAAAAUAUGUGGAGGAUGAAGCUGCCUCUUAAAGUUGAGGCCUUCUCUUGGUUAGUAAUAAAAAUAGGAUUCUAACCAAGGACAAUUUCAUCAAAAAAGGCUGGAAAUGUGCUAAGUUUUGUGACUGAAGGAAGUGUGAAUCAUUUAUUUUUCUCUUGCUCCUUAUCUAAUUUUUGGUAGAAUAUUGUGGGAUGCCCUCUGGGGAAUCAGAGAUCUCCAAUGUCUUUUUUUGACCUCUGCAAGAACUGGUUGUCUAGCUAUACUAGCAAAGAUAGGGUAGUUAUUUUAUUGGUGUUGCUGCUCUGUUGUGGUCUAUAUGGAAAACAAGGAACAAAUCAUGUUUUCAAAGUGUUAUGCCCAGAGAUCCUACUGACACUAUUUUUCUUGUUUGUUCACUGCUAGACUCUUGAAAAAAUCUGCAGAAAAGAGGGGCACAAAAUAUGCUUCAUCAGGUGUCUAGACAUGGUGACUCGUGAUGUCUUCAGAGGUGGGCAUGGUUUUGGCCCCACAUGUGAGGAGGAUUUUAUGAAGCCAACCACUGAAAUGCUUGCUGGCCUUGAAGCCUUUCUGCUAAUUUCGAUGUCGUGCCUUUAAACUGUGAUACUUUUAUGGUUUGUUGAGUGGUUGUUGAUACUUGUAGCUAGUGUGGUUGGAUGUAAGUCCUAUUUGCUAGUGUUUGCUGUUCUUGAUACAUCAAGUUCCUUUUUAGUUAGUUUUGCCUAGAUCAGAGCAUCCUGGUAUGGUAAUAUAGAUUAGUGGUGUAACGGUUAAAUUUGCUAGGUUGAAGCAUCAUGAUGUGGUUAUAGAAUAGUGACGUAUGGUUGGUUAGUUGCGCUGUAAACAACUCCAUUUUCAUAAUAAAAAUAGGGGUUGUGUGGCCCUUCGAUCAAAAAACUGAUCUACCACCCUCUUAGACUGAUUCAUCAUUUUAUGUAAAAGCUUUGACAUAAUAGAUCAUGAUAUCUAGG
Molecule: long non-coding RNA, 10083 nt
Filed under: Triticum aestivum (bread wheat)
Lineage: Eukaryota; Viridiplantae; Streptophyta; Magnoliopsida; Poales; Poaceae
Description: long non-coding RNA (TAES_LNC014395)
Source: RNAcentral